This 74-nucleotide transfer RNA is filed under the name Dipodomys ordii (Ord's kangaroo rat). Lineage: Eukaryota; Metazoa; Chordata; Mammalia; Rodentia; Heteromyidae. The record is from Rfam by way of RNAcentral.
GGGAAUGUGGCUCAGUGGUAGAGUGCUUGCCUAGCAUGCAUGAAACCCUAUGGAAGCCCUAUCUUCUAUUCCUC